Molecule: long non-coding RNA, 9461 nt
Organism: Acinonyx jubatus (cheetah)
Lineage: Eukaryota; Metazoa; Chordata; Mammalia; Carnivora; Felidae
Exons: 2
Source: RefSeq, a predicted model, not a curated record
AGCGCCGGGGGGAACGGGGAGGGCGCGGAGGUGGGGGGAGACACGAACGUGGCCCCCGCUUUGGGGAGACCCGCCUCUCAUGCUCAGACCUGGUUUCCAACUCAUUUUCGUGUCCAGGUGCCCGGCGCCGCCCGGCUGCCUACUCCGGGAGAGAAGGGGGGCGUGGGGGGGGCCGGUCGCCGAGUUCCGAGCCCAGGCCUGCCCGCCGGGGACAUCCUUGGGGCUGCUCGCUGCUCCCCUAGGAGGACGGCGGGGAGAGAGGCUCUCGCCCGCCCCGCGGGGAUGCCGGCCGAGACGCCGGGCACCUCCAUCCAGAGCGCUCGGCUUGCAGCCCCCCAGCGAGACAAACGCGCGGUCCACGCGCGGGCUGGGGAUUUGUGCCCUGGGUGUCCUCGGCCGGUGUCCGCCGAGGCGGCGCGCUCCGGUUAGCGCGGCCCAAACUUUGCUCAGCGCCUUCUCUGUGGCUUGCUCCGUUUCCAGUCCUGCUGCGCUUUCUGGGGUUCUUUAUUUUAACCAUACCUCCAAGACCCCCCUCAGCUCCCCCUUCCCCUAUGCCGCCCCCUCCCAGGCCCUUCCUCUUCCUUACUGAGCCGACCCCUCUCCUCGUUCUGGCAAUCCCUCCAACUAGUUAUGAGAAGCUCUCCUUGGAACGCUGCGGAACCUACUAAACUCACCAGACCCUGCUCUUGGAGACAAUGCACGACACGGUGGACCAGGCAGUAGUUAGAUUCCUACUCCUCUUUUUAACUUAGACAAAGCCAGUUAAUUUUUCUGUGCCUCAGUUUCCUCCUAGGGAAAUGGGAGGGAAAGACCUCUUCCUCGUUUUAAUUCAACAGCCUGGCCAUCCGAAGUUAUUUUCAAUGUACUGUUGAUGGAGCUAACAAAGUAAAACUCUGAAAGUGUCAGGGACUGUAAAAGGACAGUAAUGGCAGGAAAAAGGAGUGGAGAAACUCCCAGAUGAGGCGGUUCCCUGCCCAAGCCUGAGGAGUUCUAGCACAUUGUCUUCCAUACCUUCACUUCCCACUUUCAGGAAGUUGUGAAGGUGUGGUGAUGACAUUGCGGUGAGAAGGUGCUUGGACAGGUCCUUGUGUCAACUGCUCUGCCAGAGUUGGGUGUGGUGCUUUGCCUCCUCCAGUGGCCAAAGAGAGGGAAUUACUGAGGUCAGUAAUUGAGCUGGUUCAGGGUAGAGACAUAUAUUUACAGCAGAACCUCUCUGUUGAAGUAAUUCUGGCUGUGAGUUAAGAGACUGGGGUUCCUGGUUCUGCCACUAGCUAGUUGGAGGAUCAUGGGGAAAAUGACAGCUUCUCAGGUAGGAGAAAGUUGGACUAAAUGAUCUCCAGGGUCCCUUGGAGUCUGGAUGCUUAGAUUGUGUGAUCUUUCCUGCUUGAGCCUUGUGCUUCAGCACAUCAUGAAGACAGCUCUGCUUAGCCUCAGCCCCACAGCUCCAAAUUGGAGAGUUCUUCUGAUGGCCAAAAUUUGCUUUCCCAUAGCUUGUUCUUCCCUCCCCUGAGCCUUGUUCUUUCCUCUGAAACACAGAGUGAGCCUACUCUUCUAUACUGUGGCCACUCAGUCCCAAGUGGGCAUGCCCAGUUGUAGUGUGUGCAGGUGGGAGGCCCUGGGAAAGGAUCUCCCUUCUCUCCUUGGGACACCCCUUCUCAAUGUGGCUACCAUUUUGUUAAUGUGGUAACCAGGGGGAUCCUCUGCACAGAUUAAAAACAGAGGAAAGCAGUUGCUUUGUGACCCUGAAGUUAAUGAUGUCCCUUCUUUCCUCCCACCCCCCAAUACACUUUUCCCUUACCUCAAGUGUGCUUUCUCCUUGGAGACCAGAACUAGUUUGCCAUCAUGGUAAUCUCACAUGCUGGCUCCUGAUUUCUAACUCCUGUUGUCUUUCUCAUCCUUGGCUAUCAAUUCUUUGGGUCUGUUUGGUUUCCCUUCUAGAUGAAUCUUAACUCUCUGACUGAGUUUCCUUUUUUUUUUUUUUUUUUAAAUUUUUUUUUAAGUAAGCUCUACACCCAGUGUGGGGCUCAAACUCACAACCCUGAAAGCAAGAAUCAUGUGCUCUACAGACUGAGCUAGCCAGGCACCCCCCCCCCCCAACUGGGUUUCCUUAAUCUUUGUUUCCUUUCCCAAACUGACCCUUCCCCAGAAAAAUGUUCCUAGCUUCCAAUUCACCAAUGUCUUUAUUUCUCUAACCAUCAUUUAAAAAUAUAUAUAUUUAUUUAUUUUUGGGAGCGCACAAGCAGGGGAAGGGCACAGACAGGGGGACAAAGGAUCCGAAGCGGGCUCUGCACUGACAGUCUGACAGCAGUGAGCCCGAUAUGGGGCUCCAACUCACCACGAGAUCAUGACCUGAGCUGAAGUCAGACAUUCAACCGACUGAGCCAACCAGGUACCACCCCAACUAUCAUUUUUAAAGAGAGCCCAAGCCUGGGUACUGAUGGGUCAUUUGUUUCCUCUUCUCAGCCUCUUAGAACCCCGAAACCUAUCUGCUGUGCAGGGUGUUUUCAUGCUGGGCUGUCCCAUUGUAUUCUACUUUUUCCUGAAUUUCCUUUUGGAAUGAGAUUUAAACAGUGGCUGUGGUUUCUGGCUCCUUGUUUCCCAUCCUUCUUUGUUUUAAAGAAGCCCAGACAUCUUUCAUCAAAGUCCUCUCUUGUCCUAUAGGUCUUACUCCCAGCUCAGAACUCUUCCCCUGGAGGGACAGCAGGGGAGGAGGAAUUUAAAAAUAGAGGUAAGGAAAGUCUUGCUAGCAUUCCCUCCUUUACACCCUGGCAUACCAACAGCAACCAGGGCAAUAAAACUUCCCUCCCAGGACUGCAUCCGUGGCCUUGACCACAGCAACCAGAGUCCCAUCUUGGCUCUGCUUCCCAACAAGCCACCCUGCCUCCUUUCUCUAGCAGUCCCUGCCAACUCACUCUACCAUCAGCCUUCCUGUCAUCUGUUAAGGCCAGCCUCCUUUACCAAGAACCUUUCAUUUGCCUGUCCCCAUGUGACGGGUACAUUGAUCUGAUGCUGGAAGAAGUGUAUGGAGAAAUGGCAGUCACAAACUCCAGGGUGGCAAAGUAAUGACAGGGGAGCAUGCUUCCUGCUUCAUCUUCAUGGAAUAACCCAGUAGUUUAAGAUAUGGAUGAUGUGCAAUUUGGGCUCCAUAUGUAGAAAGAGAUACAACCACAAUUGGAGUAACUUUAGAGAAAAACAACCCAAAUCUUUAACAGAUAGAAAAUGGGUCCCUUGGACAAAAGAAUUAGAGCUGUUCACUCACUCAUUUAAACAAAUAUUUAUUUAGCACAUACCUCGAGCAAGGCAUUGUGCUAGGUCGCUUAGAUAUAAUGAUGACUAGAUUAUGGUUUCUGCCCUCUCAACAGCUGUCUCUCUAGGGAGAGUUCAGGUGCAUAUAUAAAAAUAAUCGUAAUAUGAAACAAUCAUUAAGUUUUACAAAUAUAGAAUCUAGAUGUUACUGUGACACUUCUGGAAAUGGGAUGUGGCGCUUUCAGCUAAUACUUCAUGCAAGUGGUGACAUUGCAGGAGAUCUUGAGGAGUUGGUAAGAUUUUAAUGGAUAUGGAAAGAGAAGGCCAUUCCAGGCAGAAAGCAGGGUAAACAAAGACCAAGGAAAAGUUAAUGUUCGGGAAUGUUGAGCAUCUGGGUUUGAUGAAGCAGAGAGUAGGAGGGAGAAUAUAGGAUGGUGCUAUAUUAUGAAAGACUUUGAAUAACAACCUCAAAGACUGGUAUUUUUUUCAGUAGAUAAGAAAAAGCAGUUGAAAGUUUUAGAAUAGGGUAGGUAGCAUUAUAGGAUGGAACCGGCAAGGGUAAAACAGUGUUAUGAUACUUUAGUAUGGAUGAUGCGUGAACAAACAGGGUACUGAAGGUCCCUUGCUGUGGCUGGCAUUAACCCUUUAGCUGCUGAGUCAUGAAGCUCUCCUGGGGACAGGUUAGGGUGGUAGUGGGACAUUCAGAGGGCUUGGGGCACUCACUGUAUACCAACAUGUUCAUAAGUAUUUCUGAAUUUUGGGGCACCUGGGUGGCUCAGUGGGUUGGGUGUCCGACGUCAGCUCAGGUCAUGAUCUCACCGCUCGUGGGUUUGAGCCCCGCGUCGGGGUCUGUGCUGAUAGCUCGGAGCCUGGAGCCUGCUUCGGAUUCCAUGUCUCCCCCUCUCUCUGCCCGUCCCAUGCUUAUGCUCUGUCUCUCUCUGUCUCUCAAUAAAGAAUAAAUGUUAAAAAAAAAUUAAAAAAAAAGUAUUUCUGAAUUUUAAUAACUGGUACAGCUGUACUGGUGUGUACCAGCUGAAAAGCAGCCCUGGGAACAGACUAUUAUUGGAAGUUAAAGACUCUCCAUUCUGGCAGGUUUUAACAAGUUAUACCCAUUUGUUCAGAUUGGAUUAGCUAAAUCCUGCCUGAGGGCAGAGGUCUGGACUAAAAUGGUUUCUAGGUUCUUUGCUCUAUAAUUGACCUACUGCUGGGACUAACUUGUUGCUGGAGCCAAGAGAUUGCAUUUGGGCACAGAGCCAGGGCAGAAUGAUAGCAUGCACCAGCCUCUUUCUAGAUCUCACAAGGCUGGGUCUGGUAUGUCUCCGUUUUAGUGCCAGGUUUACCUGCUGAACCCCAAAGUAUUCUCAAGCCCAGGAAUUAAUCGGCUUUUGCUGCCUUAAAUCUGCAACACAUCUCUCUGGUUGGCCCUUGUGAUUUCUGAUUGACUUUGAAUGGGCUGAAGCAGGCACACCCACAGAUGUCAGCUCCUGGGGUCAGGGUUACCACAGCCAUUCUGACCUGGAAAGGAUACAGACCCUCUAGUAACUCAGGGCUGAACAGUAACCUGAGAUGCAGGCAGACAGAGAAGGAGAAGCAAAUGAGACCGAUGUGUGGGCACAGCGGGGAUGGUGUGGCUGAGGGUUGACACUCAGGCAGAGAGACAGAGGGAGACAGAGCAUGAGCAGGGGAGGAAGACACAGAAUGUGAAGCAGGCUCCAGGCUCCGAGCUGUCAGCACAGAGCCCGACUCAGGGCCAGAACUCACAAACCGCGAUAUCAUGACCUGAGCCGAAGUCGGAGGCUCAACUGACUGAGGCACCCAGGCGCGCCCCCCCACCCCGCCCCCGCCAUCACUUCUAUUUAGUUCCAACACAUUUUCAUCAUCCCCAAAGGAGACUCUGUACCCAUGAAGCAGUCAUUCUGCAUUCCUUUAUCCCCAGCCCCUGACAACCUCUAAUCUGCUUUCUGUUUCUAUGGAUUUACUUAUUCUGGAUAUUUUGUAUAAAUGAGUUCGUAUAAUAUGUGACUUUUGUGUCUGGCUUCUUUCACUUAACAUAAUGUUUUCAAGAUUCAUCCAUAUCAUAGCAUGUUAUUAGUACUUCAUUCCUUUCUAUGGAUGAAUAAUAUUCCAUCGUUUGGGAUAUAUCACAUUUUGUUUAUCCAUCCAUCUGUUGAUGGACAUCUGGGUUGUUUCCACCUUGGCUAUUGCAAGUAGUGCUGCUAUGAACAUUGAUGUGCAAAUAUUUGUUUGAAUACCCAUUUUCAAACAUCUAGUCCAGAUGAUUAGAUGAUAAAUCUAUGUUUAGCUUUCUGAGGAACUGCCUUCAUUCACUCUUGUUGCACGAACCAGGUAGUAGCUUCUUCCCUGUCAUGCUUGUUCUCCCCCUCUCCAUUCUUAAACCUCACCUCAUCUUCAAGUCAGGAUGUAGGCAUUUUAUUUUUCUUGUUUUUGUCACCAACAGCCCCAAACCCAGCGUUCCUAAGCUGUUCUUGCCAUCUUCUUGUUGUGCCUCUUGUUCAGUAGCACAGCCAUCUUCAGAGUGUUUUGAUUUGCUACCCUAAGUGCUUCCUAGCUUGUUUCCAGCCACUGUGAUCCUUCAAUCCUUGCCUGGGUGCAAUGCACAGUGGGUUUCUUAGUCUCUUCCCAUCCUCACUCCUCCUCUUCCACACCCACCCUAGAUUUCCUGUGCAGUGGCUAAACAAUAAACAGACCUGUCUCUACUCUUCUAGCUUUAUGCCCUCCUCACCCCCACUGUCCUGGCCAUUUGCCAAGUCCUCUGUGCUUUCUCCUGGGCUUAUUAAUAAAUACCUUAGCAAUGCCCUACAGUUGACCUGAAGAGAGAUUGUUUUUCCCUCUUCCUAUUUGAUGCUGCUUCUGAUUGGGUAUCAUGAAGCCAGCCUUUAUGUUUCUUAGAGCUGAGAAGUGGUUUUGAAUGAGAUGCUAAACUCCCCAGCUCUCACACCACAAUUUCCACCCAGGUCCAACUGCCACCCGAAGAAUAGACACUUCAGACUGCAGGUCACUACAAGGCUAACCUAUGCUGGCUUUGGAUGCUCCAAACCAUUGCUUCCUACCACACAUCAGAAUGAUGCUCUCUGACCCAUGUUGAAUUUGAAUAGCUAUAUCCAUGGCCCCAUUUAAUGUUGACUUCCUGAUUUUAUUUUGUUCUUUAUAUGUUCCUUGUAUGUUUAUAUAUACCCAUGUAGUUAAUUUCAGUUAGUUCUCAGGAAGCAAGGAUUCUUACAUGUAUAAGAUAAUAGGCUUGGGGUAGGUGAGAGAAGCAGGUAUGGAGGAUGGUAGCUACAGAAAAAGAAAAAUUUCAGAUUGGAAUAACAAGCCGAGGAAAGCAGAUAUGUGGGGCUAGGUUAGAAGACCCAGAACAGCAAAGUAGAGGAAUUUAUAUUGAUAAGGCAGCAUUUAUAACUUUGUCUUCGUGGAUAUUCUCAAGUCCAUCCUUAAAGAGGCUUCCUCAGCAAGCUAGACAGCAAGCUUCCUAGCCAAGCUAGAGCAUUGCCCUGCCCUGAAAAGAAUCUUAGUGAUGGUGUCACCUGGAUAGUGGAAUUAGAAAAUCCAAUGAUAAAUGGCAAGUUGGUGAACUAGGGGCACAGCAAUGGAGCUUUGGUGUGAAGAGAAGACCCAAAAUCUAGUAGCGGUCUGGGUCAGAGCCCAGAGCCCCCAACAAUGUAAAACCUGAGGACAGGACUCUUUUAGGGGACUGGAGAGGCUUCUAGGGACUGAUAGUCUCCCUUCAGGAAGCCUGAGCUGGUGCAGGGAUAACAUCAUGAGAGUUGCCUUCCUGGCUUUGGCCAUUUUGACCUUUGUAUGUUUAGCUCAGAGGGGCAGGGGUCAAAAACUUAAGGUAUAAGCAGAUGACUUAAGUAAAUGAAGCAGGCCAUAUGUAAGUAUAAACACACACUUUGUGUGAAUUAUAUGCACCAUAGUGCAAUGGAGAACCUAUGCUCUCAAUACCUAGAAUAGGGCCUUGCCUGUGGCAGGCACUCAAAAAUUCAUUUGUUAAAUGGAUGAAAAAAGGGAUGGCCACUUCUUGGCUCCAACCCUUUAUUUCCAUUUGGUUAUGGGCCCUGUUUUGGCAGUUACCCUACUUUUCAAGAGAAACUAGAAAUGUGGAGUUUUUGUGAAAUCUCCCAAGUUUUAAGUGUUGACUCAAAUUUAUUUAAAGCACCCGAAGGAGUGAACCCGAAGGAGUUUGCAACUCCUAACUUACGGCUUUGAUCUCUAGCAAAUGCAUAGGUUAUAAGAAGUAAGUCUUUAAAAUGUUAUCUUGCACCUAUCAAGCUGAAUCAAGGUUCUUAGAGCAAGUUUCCAUGAGGAGACUCAUGGGAGGAGGCAAAUCUAAGAUUCUGACUAAGUUGUACUUGUGGCUUAAUUCCUAUCAUGUCUAAAACUCCAAUGGUAGGUGGAGGGGGACAGGAUAACUGAACUGGGCAGAAUGGUGUAGUGGAAGAAGCCUGGGAUUUGGAGCCUGUCCAGCUGGUAUACACCAAUCCACUUGUGCUGAAAUAUUGAAAUAAUUCUGUAUUGGGAGGUGAACACAUGCUGCCCUGAAUCUUCUGGGUGCCCCUCCCCCCCCAAACCCCCACUGCAACCCUCCAGACCUCCAUACCAUCUAGCAGUCAAAGAGGCAGUGCCUGGCCAUUAUUAAGUCCUCAGUACUGUGCUCUGUUGCCAGGGCUGACAUCUAUUCUCAGUAGUCAGUGCUGGUGCUGUAGCACUGGUCAAGUAUUUUGAACUCACCCCUGGGUAAACCUGAGUUUGAAUCCUAGCUCAACUUCUUACUUAGCUGAGUAUUCCUUGACAAAUUACUUAACCUCUUUCGGCUUAAACUUUCUUUAUCCUUAAAAUGGGGAUACUACUACUACUACUGCCCUAUUGGUAGGAUUGUUGUAAAAAUUAACAGAGAUCAGGCUACUAAUAUUAUUGUUUUCCAUGUUCUAAGCAGGAAACAUCAUCCUUUCUAACCUUAUCUUUACACACAACUUGGAGAAGAAGAGGUCAGAGACGGGCUGGGGUUUGCAAAGUGGAGUGACCAGUUGGGUCUCCAAAGUUGGUGAUGCUAAUGAAUCACCAAGAGGUUGUUAAAUAUGGAUCCCUCAUGAAAUUCUAAUUCUGUAGGUAUGGGCGGCAAAGUGGGGGGGGGGGUCCAGGAAUCAUUAUUUUUAUCAAGUAUCCUUAGAUCCUGAUUGACAGCCAAAUCCAGGAAUUAUCUUAUUCUCUCAUCUAGGUGAGGAACAGUGUCGUCUCCUGCCUCUCCAUCUUCACACAGAACCCAGUGCAUCACUCUACCUGCAUCAGGUGCUCAGUGUACAGGAUGGACUGAUGAGCCAAUGUGAACUGACUAGUGCUCCUUAACCAGUUGGGUUGCAGGCCUUUUCCCCACCCUUUGUUGCUGCGUCUGUCAUAGACCUUGUCCCAUCCCCCAGGUGUCCUUAGGUGUCCCCUAAGGCAAAGAACAAGGGGAGAAGAAGCCUAGGCAUCUUGUUGGGCUUUAAGACUAACUAGACACACAGGGUGAGGAUCGGAUUUCCUUCCCAGGAGGGGAGAUCCGGUCUAGGCAGAUUAGCUUGUUUAUGAGUGUUUUCUCCAUCACAUCCCCUUAGGGCAUGGACCCAGUUGGCUGACCUUGGUCAAGCCACCUGUUAACAGGCUUCCUGUGCCCUGAACUGGGCCUCCAGCACCCUCCUGCCCCCUUGUCUUCGUCAGACACUCUGACUUGUAGCAGCUGUCAUUGUUGAGUGCCUCUUCUGGCAGCUGCACUCAGUGCCUCAUAAUUAUAUCCCUGGGGGGCCUUCCUUGGAGGUAGAAGAUUAUAGCACCGCCUUGAGGGUUCUGCUCCCAGUGUUGUAUUAGUUCCAAAUGAUAAGGACAUGGAAAGCAGCAUAGGGAUAGAAGGCUGAGAGACAGAUGCAAUGAGAUCAGAAGGAGAAACCAGAGACAGGAAAAAGAGGAAGUGACAGGGGGAAAAAAUCUCAGGAAGAGAGGCCAAGAAAGACCUGAGGAAAGAGAGGUUAAAAUCUGGGAAGCCAGGGGGCACCUGGGUGGCUCAGUCAGUUAAGUGUGGACUCUUGAUUUCGGCUCAGGUCAUGUUCUCACAGUUCCUGGGUUUGAGGCCCAUAUCGGGCUCUGUCACAGUGUAGAGCCUCUUUGGGAUUUUCUCUCUCCUCUCUUUGUUCCUCCUCCACUUGUAAUCUCUCUCUCUC